UGAGGAAUAUUGCGCAAUGGGCGAACCCUCGACGCAGCAACGCCGCGUGAAGGAUGAAGGUUUUCGGAUUGUAAACUUCUUUUAUCAAGGACGAAGGACGUGACGGUACUUGAUGAAUAAGCCACGGCUAACUACGUGCCAGCAGCCGCGGUAAUACGUAGGUGGCAAGCGUUAUCCGGAUUUACUGGGUGUAAAGGGCGAGUAGGCGGGCAGACAAGUCAGAUGUGAAAUCUGGGGCUUAACCCCAAACUGCAUUUGAAACUGUAGGUCUUGAGUGAUGGAGAGGCAGGCGGAAUUCCCGGUGUAGCGGUGGAAUGCGUAGAUAUCGGGAGGAACACCAGUGGCGAAGGCGGCCUGCUGGACAUUAACUGACGCUGAGGAGCGAAAGCGUGGGGAGCAAACAGGAUUAGAUACCC
Molecule: ribosomal RNA, 416 nt
Filed under: uncultured bacterium
Lineage: Bacteria
Description: bacterial SSU rRNA
Rfam family: Bacterial small subunit ribosomal RNA
Source: RNAcentral